GAGCUACUCCCUCCGUUCCAAAUUACUUGUCGCCGAAAUAGAUGUAUUUAGAACUAAAAUACAUCUAAAUACAUUUAUACCUACGACAAGUAAUUUGGAACGGAGAAAGUAGUAU
Molecule: non-coding RNA, 115 nt
Organism: Triticum aestivum (bread wheat)
Lineage: Eukaryota; Viridiplantae; Streptophyta; Magnoliopsida; Poales; Poaceae
Source: Rfam